GCAUUCGAUAGGGUACAGAAGUGACAUCGGCUCCUGGAACUUCAGCUGAAGAGGAUCCACCAGAAGAUGUUGGUGCGUGUAAGGGACAGCUUCAGGUAACAAGCCCUGCCCUCUGGCCACUGGACCCCUAGCAGCAUUGUCACCUUUGGGGACCUUUGCAAAUUCCGCAAAGUCCCCAGACAGUGACAGUGCCACUUUAUGGUGC
Molecule: non-coding RNA, 205 nt
Organism: Pelobates cultripes (western spadefoot toad)
Lineage: Eukaryota; Metazoa; Chordata; Amphibia; Anura; Pelobatidae
Source: the annotation of a GenBank genome assembly